This is a long non-coding RNA of Sapajus apella (tufted capuchin), 2299 nucleotides long. RefSeq lists it as uncharacterized. NCBI's taxonomy places the organism in Eukaryota, Metazoa, Chordata, Mammalia, Primates, Cebidae. The record is from RefSeq and is a predicted model, not a curated record. The transcript has 3 exons.
CCUGGUGUGGCCUUUGCUACCUCCCUCCCCCACUUCUGCUGAAAUGGAACAGAUGAGCCCCGGGGUUUUUCUUUGUUUCUGUUCCACUGUGGUUUGUUUAUGUUGUUGCUAAGAAUUUAUCUACCACAAUGCUUUGUUAUUAUUAACACUUGCAAGUAUGUAUGCCUUAAAAUUUCACUUUCUCUCACUUUUUCUGUGUAUAUCCCUAAAAUAAUAUCCAAGGAGCCCACGUUGUCACUCUUCUUCCUUGCCUUGAUUUGCUCUGUGUCUUCCUCCUUAAAACAAAUAUUGUUCCAAGGACAUGGCUCAUCCUUCUUGGCUCCACUUCCAGGAGACACCCUGAUGCCAUAGAUAAUGAUAGUUAAUUUUACAUUUUAUACAUAUAUAUAACAUUUAAUUAUUCUAAUAUUCAGUAACUUCUUUGUGCGAAUAAGUGCUGGUUAGUGACUAAAAAGUGGGGAUUUGAAAGUGCACAUCGUAUUUCGGGGUCGGUUGUAAUAGUUUAAUUUUAACAUGUAUCAUGUGGAGUUGUUUCCUUCUGUUUAUGUCUGAGGGAUUGAUAUGUUUUAAGUUUCCCAGUGUAAGGUAGAUCUGUAGAAAUCAAAUCCAGUGACAAGAGAGAAGAACAUUAUCUGACUUGCUUUAUGCCAUAAAUAUUAUGCUGGAGUAUAUAUUAUAUGCUAGUUUUUGGUUAUGGUGCUCACAUUUCAGUAUCAAAUUGCUAAAAUUAUUAAUCUGAAUGAUGCUUUCACCUUCUUUUUCUUAUGAAAUUUUCUUACGUAUUUUUAUUUAGUUUAAUCUGAAAACCAAAAGCAUUUAGUUUAAUCUGUAAACCGAAAGUAUCUGAAACAAGUCUCAAUUAAUUUAGUAUUUCAUUUUGCUAGGGUUAAUGUGCCCAAGGUGGUUGACCUUUAAGUUUUAGGGAGACAUAAGGUAUCAAUCAAUACAUGUAAGCUGUACAUUGGUUUAGAAAUGUGGGACAACUGGAAGCUGGUCUGUGGUGGGGGCGCUCCAGCUCGUAGCUGGACUCAAAGAUUUUUCUGAUUGGCAGUUGGUUGAGUUGCUAUCUAGAGACCUGGAAUCAAUAGAAAGCAAUGUCUGGAUUACCUUGUGGAGACUAAGAUUUCAUUGUACAGAUGAAGCCUGCUACCUGCAGGCUUCAGAGAGAAUAGAUGAUAAAUGUUUCCUUUCAGACUUGGAGUCUGUUGUCUCAGCCUUAAGGUCUGUGUUGAUGGUAAUGGUAAUGAGGUGUGUCUGAUGCUCCCCCCAACAUCAUGGCCUAAAGUAGUUUUACAGGUUAACUUUGGAAUGCCCCUGGCAGAGAGGAGGGGCUGUUCAGUUAGUUGUGGGCUUAUAAUUUUAUUUUUGGUUUUACUUGUUACCCAGUUUGUAAGUUGUUAUAUAAAGCUGAUGUUGACAUUCAUACACAAUCAGAAGUGAAGAGCGUACUGAGAUCAUUAACUUGUUUCAUUUGUGUUACAAGUCUUUAAAUGGCUACUCAGUGCAUAAGUAAAAUUUGUUAACACCGUUUACCUUAAUAUCUGAGGGCUGGAAUUUUGAAACCAAAACCCUAAACAUAAUCCAAUACAAAGUAACAAUACUAUUCCUACUUAUUCCUCCCCUGUCCCUCCCCGCACAUAUAAAGAUCUUGGAAUUUAUCCAAGAAUUGAUUUCACUUAAUAACGAUUGGUGUUGUGUGUGAAGCGAAGUUUUAAAAGAAAUGCUCCAUAAAUGUUAACGUCAUUCCUGGAGCAGCAGGGAAAUGAUGACAUGGUCAUUCUUGCUCUGUUUUGGGGCCACUGUGACAAAGUGCCAUAAACUUGGUGGCUUCAAACAACAUACGUAUCUUCUAAUGGUUCUGGAGGCCAGAAGUCCGAAAUCAAUCCCUCUGGGCUAGAACGAAGGGCUGGGCAGGUCCUGCACUCUGGAGGCUCCUGGAGAAGCUAUUCCUGCUUUUCUAGCUUCUCAGCCUGCCGCAUUCCAUGGCGGCAGGCCCUUCUCCUUCAGAGCCCCUGCUUCCAGCCUCAUAGGGUCUUUCUGCUUUCUGUUUUGUCAAACCUCUGUUCCUCCCUCUUUUCUUUCUUUUCCGUAGACAAGGGUCGAGGCUGGAGUGCAGUUGCAUGAUCAUAGCUCACUGCAGUCUUGAUCUCCUGGACUCAAGCACCCCUUCCACUUCAGCCUCUUGAGCAUCUGGGACUACAGGCCUGCAGAUAGCUUAAUUAGCAAAUUAGAUUAGAUUAGCUAAUUUGCUAAUUUUAAACAAUUUUUGCGGAGACGGAGUCUCACUCUGUUCCCCAGG